UCAUUGUAUUUUAAUUAAGGAUUAAUUUCAUACAAAUCUCAAUAAAUACAGUAAAUUAUAAAUAUAUCCUUACAAAAUUUAAUUUUUAUAUAUAUGUUGCUUUUACAAAAGUUGUAAUAUUUUCAUAUAUAUCCAUCUGGUUUUUUUACCGUUAAAGCACUCUUUAUUUUUAUAAGUGAAAUGACUUUUUUGUCAUCAUAAACACGUCCCUCAAAAAGUCCCAACAGUAUAAUAUAAGAGAGAUAAUUAAAAAGUUAUCUCAUAAACUAACUAGAAUUAAGCAUUUUAACCUGUGGUUAACUAAAAUUUUUUAACGGAUUUUAACGACAGGAACAUACUUGAAAACAUUAGGAGUUUUUGCAGAGACAAUAUAUAAAAGUCGAACUAUGUAGGGAUAUAUUUAUAAUUCACUAUGUUUGCAGGGACCUGUAUGAAAUUAACCCUUUAAUUAAUAUCUACUACAUACGUUAGUCAAAUCUCAGUGUUCCGGAGGGAGUACGUAAUAGAAAAUAUUUUAUUUAUUUUGAUAAAAAUUAUUAUAUUAGAUUAUAUAGAUCGUAUUGUUUUGUUAUAUUAAAAAAAUAUAGAAGCGGGUGGCAAAGGGUUUGGUGAUUGGUACCCGAGACCCAAGUUCGAAUCCUAGUUGAUUCACAUUUCCAGCUAAGUUUAUUUUUAAAAUGAAAUAAACAAAACGGAUAGCGUGCUAUCUAUCUCUCAAAAAAAAAAAGAAAAA
This 733-nucleotide long non-coding RNA is filed under the name Ananas comosus (pineapple). Its description in RNAcentral is "long non-coding RNA (ACOM_LNC003592)". The record is from RNAcentral. Lineage: Eukaryota; Viridiplantae; Streptophyta; Magnoliopsida; Poales; Bromeliaceae.